RNAcentral lists this unclassified non-coding RNA (346 nucleotides) under soil metagenome. RNAcentral's name for it is "partial contains 5.8S ribosomal RNA, internal transcribed spacer 2, and large subunit ribosomal RNA". The stretch from base 1 to 120 matches the Rfam family "5.8S ribosomal RNA", at positions 35 to 154 of the family's 154-position model. The record is from RNAcentral.
GAUGAAGAACGCAGCGAAAUGCGAUAAAUAAUGUGAAUUGCAGAAUUCAGUGAAUCAUCGAGUCUUUGAACGCACAUUGCGCCCCCUGGUAUUCCGGGGGGCAUGCCUGUCCGAGCGUCAUUGCUGCCCUCAAGCACGGCUUGUGUGUUGGGCCCCCGUCCCCCCCUCCCGGGGGACGGGCCCGAAAGGCAGCGGCGGCACCGCGUCCGGUCCUCGAGCGUAUGGGGCUUUGUCACCCGCUCUGUAGGCCCGGCCGGCGCUUGCCGACACAUCAAUCUUUUUUCCAGGUUGACCUCGGAUCAGGUAGGGAUACCCGCUGAACUUAAGCAUAUCAAUAAGCGGAGGA